CAAGAUGUCAUGAAAUAGGUGAGGCAGGAGCAUGAGGUCCCCAGUACCUGACAAUUAAGCAUUUCUAUGAGCUGCAGAGAAAGUUCUGAAGUGCACGGACCCAUCUGAGGGAGCGUGUGGGAGGCCCCGAAGGCCCAAGCUGAGUUGAAAGCAAAGAUCCUGCUUACGUGACAUGGAGACUGACCGAAGAUCACUUCCCACUCUUGCCACCUGCGCUGGAAGUUUCCCAAGGACAGGGCCUGGCACUCCUGUUCCCUGGCAGGCUGUACGCCCCGAACACAGCGAGUCUGAGACAUGCUAAGCAAGACCUCUGCAGCUGCCGCGUCCCAUCGUCAGGACUCAAAGGAGUGGCAUCUUGGAAGGGGGCCACCCUCCCCGGAUCUCAAACGGCUGGCUUGACUUUGGAGCCACUCGCUGAGAUGAGCUGAGGCUGCAGUCCUGAACCUCGUGCCUCUGGGAGGUUCCCAGGCUGCUGUUUACCCUGAUUCCUGGCCAUCCAUCCUAUUUCCUAAGACAGUACUGUUUUUCUAGCCUACUUAGCUAUUCUUGGGGAAAAUAUCACAGUGGGUAGGAAGUUUUUGCUCCAAAGCCAAACAAAGAGGAGAAAAACAAGAGGAAAGAAGGUUAUGUUAAAAAAAAAAAAUAAAGAAUUUGAGAAAUACCCAAUGCUCUUGUUAAGCAAAUAAUUUCCCAGGAUUUCUCAACGUACAAGGAAACCCAAUAGCCACAAAAAUAACCCCAGUUAAAGAAAAUACGCCCGUUUCAGAUUUACUUUCUGAACAUUCGCUGUGGUUUGCCCACAGUGAGGCUCCGGGCACCUGCUGGCCUCGAGGGCCCGGUGAAGACAGCCUAGAAGCCGGAUGGGUAGAACGCCAAACAUCUGGAAGCUUCUGGGAACUCCCCUCUCGCUGGGCUCCGGAAGUGGCUUUUCUGCAGCCCCUCCCGGGGCUGGGGCUGCCAACCUAAGAGGACGUGCAGGGAGAGGGCACAAGCUGGAUUCCUCCCACCCUUCAGGGUUCUGCUCAGAUGUCACCUCCCAGGGACACUUCCCUGGUCAUCUUGCCUAGUUCCCCUCUCUCCUUCCCCGCCACCCUGUUUUACGGUCCUCAUAGAACGUAUCACCUCCUAAAUGACGGGGUUCACUUUUCCAUGCGUCGCCCACACCAG
RNAcentral lists this long non-coding RNA (1167 nucleotides) under Equus caballus (horse). RNAcentral describes it as "lncRNA (ENSECAG00000058217.1)". Lineage: Eukaryota; Metazoa; Chordata; Mammalia; Perissodactyla; Equidae. The record is from RNAcentral.